UAGUAGCGUGAACGCGAGAGAUCAUACGUGGACUGGGGGUAGGCAUAGCUCGCUUUUUUUUGUUCCUCCCUCGGCGAAAGGACGCACUAACACUUGUUUCUACCUGCCCGCAAGACCGGGAUAACUCCGGGUAACCGGAGCUAAUACCGGAUAACACCAAAGACCGCAUGGUCUUUGGUUGAAAGGCGGCUUCGGCUGUCACUUGCGGAUGGGCCCGCGGCGCAUUAGCUAGUUGGUGAGGUAACGGCUCACCAAGGCGACGAUGCGUAGCCGGCCUGAGAGGGUGACCGGCCACACUGGGACUGAGACACGGCCCAGACUCCUACGGGAGGCAGCAGUAGGGAAUCUUCCGCAAUGGACGAAAGUCUGACGGAGCGACGCCGCGUGAGCGAAGAAGGCCUUCGGGUCGUAAAGCUCUGUUGUGAGGGACGAAGGAGCGCCGUUUGAAUAAGGCGGCGCGGUGACGGUACCUCACGAGAAAGCCCCGGCUAACUACGUGCCAGCAGCCGCGGUAAUACGUAGGGGGCGAGCGUUGUCCGGAAUUAUUGGGCGUAAAGCGCGCGCAGGCGGUCCUUUAAUCUGAUGUGAAAGCCCACGGCUCAACCGUGGAGGGUCAUUGGAAACUGGGGGGACUUGAGUGCAGGAGAGGAGAGCGGAAUUCCACGUGUAGCGGUGAAAUGCGGUAGAGAUGUGGAGGAACACCAGUGGCGAAAGCGGCUCUCUUGCCUGUAACUGACGCUUAAGCGCGAAAGCGUGGGGGAGCAACAAGAUUAGAUACCGUGGUAGUCCACGCCUGAAACGAUAAGUGGUAAU
Molecule: ribosomal RNA, 813 nt
Filed under: Geobacillus sp. ISIJU-5
Lineage: Bacteria; Bacillati; Bacillota; Bacilli; Caryophanales; Anoxybacillaceae
Description: bacterial SSU rRNA
Rfam family: Bacterial small subunit ribosomal RNA
Source: RNAcentral